UGGGACGAGAAGACCCUAUAGAAUUUGAUAUAAUUAUUAAAUUUAUUUAAGGAAGUAUAUUUUAUUUAAAUAAUUAUAUUUUAUUGGGAGGAUAAUUAAAUAAGAUGAACUUUAGUUUAAAUAUAUAACUUAACAUUAAUUAAUGAAAUUUAAUAAAGGAAUGAUUAUUAAGUUAUUAAAAAAAAUUUUAUAAUAAUUAUUAAAAAAAUUAAUUACCUUAGGGAUAACAGCGUAAUAUUUUUAGAAAGAUCAUAUUAAUAAAAAUGAUUGCGACCUCGAU
RNAcentral lists this ribosomal RNA (280 nucleotides) under Nylanderia sp. GAL18-0266-24. RNAcentral describes it as "partial large subunit ribosomal RNA". The record is from RNAcentral. Lineage: Eukaryota; Metazoa; Arthropoda; Insecta; Hymenoptera; Formicidae. RNAcentral also lists the same sequence under 2 other names.